AUGCACUUAAAUUCAUUCACAUAUUUUAUUUAUGUAUUUUUAUUUUUUUCUGUCAGAUCUUCCAAGUUAUUGAAACAGGAGGCAUGCAGUAGAUUUUCAAUGGAGCCGAAUGAAUUUUUCAAUGUGCCGAGUCUGCCUGGUGGCUCACCCGGGGUGUUACCACAUUCUAGGAAAUUGUCACCAGCCAGUCACCCGUUACAUGCAGAAUCCAAUUCAUCUUUGCAGGCCCAGUUGGCGAGUAUCUCUCAGGCCUUAAUUAAUAAAACUCCUAUCACAAUGCACCAAUUACUCUCUUUAAGAAGCUGCUAUGAGCAAACUGAUACCCAAAACAAACAUUUGAUAGAUACUCUGUGCGUGGAACUACAACAGUCACAUCUCACAGCCAAAAAAUUAGGAAAAUUAGAUCCUAAACUUCAAGUUUUUAUCCUCAAUGUGAGUCUUAGUUUAAUUUCUUUAUCUUUCAGUAAUCAGGAAGCUAUCAGCACUUGUGAAAAGUUGAAAUAUUUUUGAACAGUGUGUGCAGUGUAAUAUAUAAACAAGAUUUGGUAUUUAUUACACCUGCCUUUUGAUUAUUAUGUCUUACACCAGAAAAAAUCCAUGGAAAAGACUUUUUAGCUAGUUCCUUAUUGGACUAAUACUAUAAUAAUCUUCCAACAAUUUUCUGUUCGUAUCCUCCUCUUUAAUCAGCAGAAACAGCUUUUUUCUCCCUUUACUGACUCUCCCCUAAUUUAUUUUGAGGAGCUUUACUGUUACUAAAAUGAGGCAGAAAUCGUACAUAUUUCUUCAUUGCAAAAUGUAGUCUAAAUAUCCAGGAAAAGAAGCUAGUUUGCAUGGACUGAUUUUAAUUCAGUUGUGUAGACGCAGGAAUGCAAUCGGAUUAUCAGUCAAUUCUUUUAAAUUUAGGUUCAUCAGACUCAUCAUUUUAGUUGAUUAUUUACACUUUACAACUCUUUUUUUUGUUUGCCUAUUUUAAAUAUUUUGAUGAGAAUUUUUCUUCUUUAAUACUUUGCCGUUUGUUUUAUUGUGUCCUUGAACCAAUCAAAAUACAUUAAUUGAUGGGUUAUGUGAAUAUUCUGAAAACUUAGCUUCCAUUAGAGGGAGUGAAAAUUAAGUAGUUAAGAAAAAUUAGGAUGGGGGAGGGGCCAAGUUUGAAAACAUGUCAGUUGUCCUAAUUUUUCAGUGCCAUAUUUUAACGCUGUAUAUUCCCGCAAGUUAGUCAUAGAAACAGGGGAGAGGUAAAAGGUAGACAAUAUUUAUUCUCUUUUUAGUAUGAUGAUCUUUGUCUCCAAUUUUGAAAAUAGUGGUGUUUUGAAAUGCUCAUGUCAAAUCUAGCCUGUGGAAGCAGUUAUUUGAGAGCCUCUCGGAAGUUAAACUUUCGAUAAUUUUCAGCACCAUCAAAAAAUGUAUACGACUCAGAAACUCAGUGAAAUUCUGUCACUGACAAAAGAAAUGCACUUGUAUGCAAUCUAAGGCUUUUUGUCAAAGUUACAUGGAUGAAAUUUGCUUUCUUUCACAGCAAAGAGUUCACAGACUACUCUCUGCUCUCAUCAAAUAGAUCCUAUAAUUUGCUUUUAUCAAUUAUUUCGACUUUAAUCUGGAUCACAAAUAAUUGAAGCCUAACAUGUAAAUCAGCCUAUGAAUUUUUUUCCUUGCACCAAAGUGAUGAUUUUCGACUUGACCGUGUAAAUCAUCCCCUUGAUAUUCCAUCUGAGCGUUUUUCCAUCUUUACAUAUUAUGCUCUUAUUCAGGAGAAGAGUGAAAUUCUACAAUGUUUAAAAACAUAAUGCGAAAAUAUCUUUCAUUGUUUUAAAAUUAUUACGUUUAUUUCUCAAGGUCUAGACUAUGGUGGUGAUUCGAACAGUCAAGCAGUGUACACCAGUAAUAUGGCAAUGCGGCAAAGUCUUUCAAAUUUAGCUACAGACAAAGUUCGCUCCGCACUGAGUUCUUUGUUGAAGAAUGCUAAUUUACCUGCUCUCGUUCCAAAUGGCAAUGCAGGUAAGUUGUGAGCUUUUCGAGGUUGUGUUCUUUUCAGGAUGGCAAUUUUGUUUUGAGUUUUUGAGACCUAUGUUUUUCCUUUUUCCCUCUUUCCAUUUUCAAAUAUAUUUCAAAUGUAUUUUUUUUCCCCCUUUUUUUUUUCAUACCUUGACUAGCUGGACAAGACUUCAAACAAAUUAGUCACUCGAAAAGUAGUGUGUAAAAAAAAAACAAAGCUUAACAGAGAAAUGGUUGUAUCCUGUUAUUUAGCUGAAGCAUGAUUUUAAGCAAGCUGAAAUCAAGCUGCCCGAACUGAUACAAUUGGUAAAUAAAUCAGCUCUCAAUUAAAGAGCUGUUGCUCUUGGUGUUUCCGAAUGUAAUGAACUACUGUCCAGCAUUUCAUCCUCCAAAGACAAUUGGAGUAACAUCAGAACCGUUUUUAAAAUAGUUCGGAAUUUUUUCUCUGUCAAUUUUAUGCGAAGGAAUUUCAAAAUUACCUUUCAUUCUGUCACCCAAUGCCUAUCUUGAAGUAUCUUGCAACUGUCAAGCUCCUCAAUUAAAUUAUGUCAUUUUAAGUUCAAGUCGUAAUUUCGAUAAUUAAAGGGUAAUGAUAUUAAUGGUCUGCAAGGUAACAGUUUUCAAACCAACAUAAGUCUUUUCAUUGGGAUAAAGAGAAAUUAAUUGAUUUUUUUUUUUUUUUUUUUUUUUUUUUCGGGGUUCAGGAGACAAAUAAUUAUAAUAUUCUUCACUUCUAUUUUGGAUUCUUACUCGAGCAUUUUGACUGCUAAACUAAACAGUGCAGGUGCAAUUUUUUCAUUAUCAAUGCUAAAAGAUAAUAAGUUAGGUAUCAUUUAAUGAUGAUUUGAAUUUUGUUUGUGAUUUUGUCUUUCAACUAAAGAUUUAAAUUUUUCAAUGGCUUAAUAUUCAGCUUCUUGAAGUGAUACUUUAUGUCAUGUUAAAAAUUUUUUAAUGUAACCUCUCUUAUCAAUAACUUUAUAGAUGAGAAGUUAUGUAGGAAACUUUCCCCCUUUUUAUCUCUCGCAGCUAUGCAUUUCAGGAAGACCAGUCGUUGACUUUGAAGUAUUCCCAUAUCGACUCAUUGCGGCGACUGGUCUCUCUAUUUCUGUAUUCUAUUUUUCUUUUAUUUCUUUCUAUCUCUGAAUUGAGGCACUUUUGCUGUUGCAAUAAUUAUUUUUUUGCUGAAUAGUGUAAGGAAUUGCUCUAAUUAAACUUUUUACCUUCAUUGGAAAAGAAAAGUCCGUGGUCACAUUACAACAGAUAGUAUGGGGAAGGGGUUUUACAAGAACUGUUUCUUUUUACAACAGAAGGAGAAACAAGAAGAAAUAUUCAAGAGAAAAAUAGGAAAGGAAAGAUAACCCAUAAUGAAAGAAUAAGGUAUGUUUCAUUAAGCAAUUUAUGUGAGUGCCAUCGUUUCCAACGGACAUGUUUCGCUGUUAUCUCUUGCUUUGUUUCAUACAGUUUCCUAGGAUGAUCUGGGCUCCUUUUCCUGCAUUAUGCUUUCUGCCAAAGCAAAUGGUUCAUGGGUAUUUAAAUUCAAUAACACUGAAAAUAAUUGUUUUUACAUGAGAUGUGGGUUAUUAAAGCUCAAACAUUAUACACCUACUGCAUUUGUAUGGUGCUAACUAUGAAUUAUUUUUUAUUUCUUUUCGUCAUUGAAUAUGGAUAGUAAUUUUUUGAGA
Molecule: long non-coding RNA, 3674 nt
Filed under: Bemisia tabaci
Lineage: Eukaryota; Metazoa; Arthropoda; Insecta; Hemiptera; Aleyrodidae
Description: lncRNA ENSSSA1NGG002503
Source: RNAcentral